Molecule: ribosomal RNA, 407 nt
Filed under: uncultured bacterium
Lineage: Bacteria
Description: bacterial SSU rRNA
Rfam family: Bacterial small subunit ribosomal RNA
Source: RNAcentral
GUGGGGAAUAUUGGGCAAUGGGCGCAAGCCUGACCCAGCAACGCCGCGUGAAGGAAGAAGGCUUUCGGGUUGUAAACUUCUUUUAAGAGGGAAGAGAAGAAGACGGUACCUCUUGAAUAAGCCACGGCUAACUACGUGCCAGCAGCCGCGGUAAUACGUAGGUGGCAAGCGUUGUCCGGAUUUACUGGGUGUAAAGGGCGUGCAGCCGGGCAGACAAGUCAGAUGUGAAAUCCCGCGGCUUAACCGCGGAACUGCAUUUGAAACUGUCGGUCUUGAGUACCGGAGAGGUCAUCGGAAUUCCUUGUGUAGCGGUGAAAUGCGUAGAUAUAAGGAAGAACACCAGUGGCGAAGGCGGAUGACUGGACGGCAACUGACGGUGAGGCGCGAAAGCGUGGGGAGCAAACAGG